UACGGAAGGCAGCAGUGGGGAAUAUUGCACAAUGGGCGCAAGCCUGAUGCAGCCAUGCCGCGUGUAUGAAGAAGGCCUUCGGGUUGUAAAGUACUUUCAGUCGUGAGGAAGGUGUUAAGGUUAAUAACCUUAGCAAUUGACGUUAGCGACAGAAGAAGCACCGGCUAACUCCGUGCCAGCAGCCGCGGUAAUACGGAGGGUGCGAGCGUUAAUCGGAAUUACUGGGCGUAAAGGGCACGCAGGCGGUUAAUUAAGUUGGAUGUGAAAUCCCCGGGCUUAACCUGGGAAUGGCAUUCAAGACUGGUUAGCUAGAGUCUUGUAGAGGGGGUAGAAUUCCAUGUGUAGCGGUGAAAUGCGUAGAGAUGUGGAGGAAUACCGGUGGCGAAGGCGGCCCCUGGACAAAGCUGACGCUCAUGCGCGAAAGCGUGGGGAGCAAAC
RNAcentral lists this ribosomal RNA (438 nucleotides) under uncultured bacterium. RNAcentral describes it as "bacterial SSU rRNA". It matches the Rfam family "Bacterial small subunit ribosomal RNA", at positions 340 to 773 of the family's 1533-position model. The record is from RNAcentral.